CUGGGCAGGGCCCCCUUGAGGAGCAGCCCUGGCAGGUGGGUCCUCGCCUUGUACGCUGCCUGCAGGUGCUGGAUGCUCCACAUGUGGGCACCGGGGAUGGUCCCACUUGAGGCUUUGAGCUCCGGCGAGGCCACCCUCUGUCCAGCCAGGGGGAGGGUGCCUCUGAGAAGGGGGCUGUCAGAGUUGCCUGAGGAGGGGGCUGGGAUGACCCCUAUCAAUCCCAGUCCUGGGGUUCCUUGGCUCUUGUCCCUCCCUGCAAGUGGGGAGGCCAUGAGAAGUUGUGGGGAAAGGCCCCAGAGACCCCAGGGCAGGGAAGGAGGCCUGGGGGCUGUGCUGGGGCCUGGAAGGGGGAGGCCUUGUGCUGCUCCCUGUGGUCUGACGGGCAGGAGGUUAGAGGGAGGGGCAGGCCUGCUUCCAGCAGGGUGGUCAGUGCAGGGCAGUCAGCGCAGGGCGGAGGUCUGUUUUCUCCUUGGUUAUUUCAGGUAAACCGCAUGCCCCGGGCCCCCAGAGUGGGAGAAAAGCCAGUUCAUGGCCCUCUCCCCACCUUCAGCACUGCCCCUCCCCCCAGUCUCCACCCUGGCAGGGCUGUGGGGCCCGGGGCAUCAGCUGAGCCCACUGGGCCCACAGCACCCUCAGGACCUCGCCACCCCUUGGGACCCACAGGGUAGCAUUCCAGGGCUUCUCCUACACAGGGGGCUCCAUUCGCCCGAAGGCCAAGGACUGCAGAGCUCAUCAAUGGUGAGGGGGGCCCGGGAGGUGGGUGCCUUGGGGGUGGUCCCAACUGGGUGGGGUUGGGGAGCCUGGGGGCACCAUACGGGUAUAAGAAUUCAUUUUGGACACAGUGUGUGUCCCCUUCUGCGGAACCUUUGAGCUCAAUAGCCCAAGGGCAGGCCAGGCUCACCGCCCCUUUGGCUGUUGCCACUCUGGGUCAGUCUCCAGGGGCAAGGACAGGUUGGCAGUGUCCCCCCUCUGCCUGACUCCAGUCUGGGCAUUUCUGGAGCAUCCUGUGCGCCUGGCUCAGCCCAGCAAGCUGACAUUUGAAAGCUCACAGCUGUCCUGUGAGGUGGGUGAUUCCCGUGUCGUUUCAUGGUGAAGAAGCCAAGGCCAGGACAGAAGUGACCUGUCCCCGGGCCACAGCUGGGCAGGGGCGGAGUUGGCAUUUGAACCCAGCUGCGUGCCUCUUGAGUGCUGCUCUGUGGGCCCCGCAGCCUCCUGUCAGCUCCUUCUGGCGCCUGCUCUGUGGGUGUUCCUUUUGUCUAAGGCGCCUGCAGCCCUCAGAGGGUCUGUGGGGUGGGGACAGAGCUCAGCACCCCGCAUCCACCAGCACCAUCUCCGACCUCUGUGCAGGCUUCGUGUUAGAGGUGGCAGCCAGGUCCUGCCAACGGAAGAUGCUGGGCCUUGGAAACAGCCUGCACUGUAGGUGACCCGGCCGGCCGGGCCCAAACUGGCUGCCAAGAAAAGGGAGCGGGAAAGGAAAACAGCUCUCGGCCACAUCGCCUGUGUAACCGAAUCUGUUUUCAAAGCCCCUCGCAACGCGGGCUCCGCAUUCGGCAGGGCAGGCACUCGCCGCCAGAUCCCCGAGGACUGCUCAGGGGGUCUUCUGGGAGGAGCUCAAAGCGAGUUUGUUUUCGGGGAGGAGGUCAUUGCACUCAAGGUCCCCGUGACUGCAGCGUUCUCAAACGUCCUGCCAUGUGCUGGGAUAACCCCACCCACCGCAGGCGUGCCCUCCGUGGGGCAGGGAGGGGAAGCAGGUUUGGGCUGUUAGGGCUGCAAGCCAAGGGGCCUGCAGGGCAUCUUAGUGAGCUGCUUUGGUGUCCCUGCAGUUGGCGACACCCAUUGUCACACCCCCUCGGCACCCUCGGUCUCCCACAUGACAGACUUACCUGGGGAUGCAAACAGGGCUGGUGAUGACCUUGGCCCUGUGCGGUGGGGUGGCCGUUUAUGAUGGGGCCUGCACUCAACUCACUUUCAGGUCUAGAUGCGGGGACCGGGGGAGGUGUCAGCUGGGCUGGGCUGGGCACGACUAGACUGUGGCCCCGUCUGCGGGAGCCCGGCCACCACCUCAGCAACGCCACCUCCUUAGGAUGUGGGGGCGGGAUUUACUCUCGAGACUCUUAGAGCCAGCGGGUGGCUGGAGGCUCAUAGCCUGGCCCAGGCAGCUGGGGGAGGGCUUUGCUGGUGCCUGGGACCCCCCACCCCCUGCAUUCUCGCCUUUGCUUUCUCUUUUGCUCUCGUCUUUAACAACAUCUCUCCACUCCUCCCCUCCCUCCCUCCUCUGGCCUGCCCGCUCCUUCAUUCCUUCUCUGCUCCUAACCCCCGCAUAGAGGAGCCUGGGGAGCCCGCAGCCUCCUGACCCCAUGUUCCUCUUUCUCUCCUGUCUUCCUGGAGACGUCUGCCACUGACAGUCUUGGAGCCCUGUCAAGGGGACCUGUCCUGCGCUGGGCUGUCCACAGAGGAGCAGCGUGGAGGAGCUGGGAGUGCCCAGCCUGCCUGUGGGCUGCAUUGCCGCUUCCUGCCCAGGAGCCCUGCAGCCGUCUGUCCGCCUCUGAGUAGGACAGUGGGGUUUCCUGGCCAGGAGCAGAGUUUGUCACAUUCCAGUUAUGUCUGCCCAAUGUUCAGCUUUUGGGUCUGGCUGAAGCUGCCCUGCGGAUUAUGCAAAAACCUGUCUGAGGGAGUGAGAACGCAGAGGCACCUUAGAGCCAGCCAUGGCUCCAAGCUCUGAGGAUCUGCAACAGACACACAUUGGCUGGGCCUGAGCAAAGAGGGAAAGCCACUCUCCUUCAGCAACGAAGGAGUGGGGAUAGCAAGGGCUGAGCUUGUACAUGCACACCUGUGUGCAGCCACACACAUACACCUGUGCACACACAUGCAUAUGCUCAUAUAUGUGCACACAUGCAGGCCCGUGCUCACAUGCAUGCAUACCUCUGUGCCCCCACACUUAAUGCACAUACAUGUGCACAUGCACACCUACACACAUUCCUAUGCACCCACCCAGUGCUCAUGACAAACCUGUGUGUACUUACGUGUGUACAUCCAGAUGCACCCACACACUCGCACACAUGCCUCUACGUGUACGCCCAUGGGCACGUGUGCUCACAGAGGCCUGGAAGGUGCUGUUUUUCCACGCGACGAUGGCUGCCGUGCUCGGUGGGAGCAGCCGCGUUGCUGCCUGUUCCCGUGCCCCAGUCUGGCCGUCACUCCUCACCCUCGUCAGGCUCAGGGUGGGAGGGUGAGUAGCCUGGAGUGGCCUGGUCACGUAGGUGGGCAGCCAGCUGGGGCACUGACCUCCAGAUGGGCCACGAGAGCCCUUCCUGCAUCUUCUGAGUCCCUGACUCAGUGCCCAGUGAGGGUCCCGGAGGGCAAAAGAAUGUCUAACGCUCCACCUGUGGGCGGGUCUGGCCUUACGGAAACUUCUCCAUGGCAGGUGGAGGCCUGGUUGAGUGGAGCAAAGGGCAGGCAUUCCCAGUGAUCAGGAGCUGGGGCCAGGCCUACUGACACCUUGAUGCUGAGGGGCCAGAGCGGUCCUGAGCGAUGUCCCGAAGGCCCAGGGUCUGGGCAGGUGGAGGCAGAUGGACCAAGCAGGGCCUUUGUGUUCCAGGGCACUUUGCAGGCAGCAGGACCCCCAGGUCCUCUGGAGAGGGUGGCUGGAGACCCGGCCUGAAGCUGCUGCCCCCAACACCACAGGAUACCUGCCUGCAGGUGCCAUCCAUUGCUUGGGGGCUGCACAGAGCAGUUUUGAGCAGGCAGUGGGGUGUCACCUUGGAGUGGCUGUGAGAUGUGCGGGACCCUUGGGGGCCACCUGGGGUCAAGCCCAGCCCUGCCUCUUGGGCUCUGGGACCCUGGGGGAGCCACUCCGUGCUCUGUGCCUAGGUCUGUGACCCUGGAGGAGGGCGGUGCUGUCCAUCUCCGGGGACGAUGGUUGCAUCUCAAGGGUAAGGGCCCCAGGCCUGCCAGGUGCUUCGAGUACAGUCCAGGGGCGGCCUCUCGGGGCUGCUCUGGUGGGCGGCCAGACCCUGCUGGAAUGUGACUCUGUUCCUGGGAUCAGGACCUGCCCUGUUGCUUGUGGGCAGGGUUGCCUUUGUCAGGUCCUGCCAUUUCUGAGCCUCAGUUUCCCAAUCUGUGGUGGGGUUGACGUGAGGAAAUGAGAAAUGCACCCAGGGAGCACUGGCUGGCGCUGCAGGGCAGCAAGGGGGAGCCACCAUGGUCACUCUUGGAAAAGUCCCCAGCCCUGCACCAGCAGGGCAGUAAGAAAGUCCACGGCUGCCGCUGUCCUGGAGAGAGGCAGCAGCCCGGGAGAGGCAGCAGCCCUGGCCACACCCCUGCCAAGAGCCAGCUCAGGGGCCCAGGGCCGCUGAGAUCACUGGGCAGUUCCCAGGCUGGCUGGGCUGUCCCCUCGUCAGGAGGGCAGGGCUGGCAGGUUUGUGGACGCCUUCCCAGGCUGACCCCCACAAUAGCCGCCCUGCUCCACCCUGAAUCUACCCGUCCCAGGCUGCGCCUGCCUCCAAGUGCCUGAUUGGAGAUGGCCAAGCCCAUUCCUCAUGUACAAAGAAUUUCCCGAGCAGCCACAGCUGCUGCAGCUGGAACUUGUCUCCAGAUGGGUCGUUCCGAGGGAAACCAGCGUCUCCUGUCUCCUCCUGCAGACAUGGGCUGGCGUCCGAGCCCUGGAUCCCCUGCCCUGGCUUGGCUUCCUCUGGAGGGGAGAUAAGGGGCUCCUGACAUCUUGUAGGCUGAAGAACCCGCCCAGCACGCUGACAGGGAGGCGCCAGAGGCAGCCGCAGACCGGCCUCAGCCCCUGCAGCCCCUCCCCUCUUGUUGUUGCAGAAAGAAGCCCUCAGGGCCCAAGGUCGACCCACCCAGCCAGGGGACUGCUCUGUAGCUGUGGCCCACUCCAGCCAACCCGGGAGUGAGGGGCUCCGAAGCGUGCCCAGCACAUAGGGAGGGCUCAUUCCGGGGGGCACCGUCUCCCAGUCAGAGCAGGCUGGAGCUGGGCACAGCCGAGGAAGAGCAAACGUGUUCUGUCCUUGACUCCUUCUCCAAGUUUGUGAUGGCAUCUGCCAUGGGCCAGACAGGGGCACACGAGAGUGAGCGAGUGGACGUGGCUGCCCUCUGGAGCCUUCCAGGGCGCGAUGGCAGGUGUGGAGAGGCACACAGGGAAACCCUGGAGUCUCGCCGAGGUACAAGGCGAUGCAGAAAGGGCCAGGGAGUUCCCAGAGACUGUCAGGGGCUCCCUGGGCGGAGGCAGAGACCCCCACCUGGCCCCUGGCACCUCCAGCACCAUGGGCGCCCUGGCUAGGGAUCCCUUCCUGUCUGAGGUCAGCGCUGCAAACCUGUGGCUGCGGUUACCCCACCAUGUUUUUUAAAAUUGGAACAAUUCAUGUAAAAGCCCAGAUUCAUUUUUUCUUGAAAAAAAUUGACAGCCAACUGUGACCACAGUGGGCUUGUUUCUACGCAUUGGGGGCUCUUCCCUCGGAACAGGCAGUGCUCUCAGUUGCCGUAGACGCCCCCCACUCCCUGUCAUCUCACCCGGUCCCUGCUGGGCCUCUUUGUGGCCCAUCCCCUGGUUCAGAUAUUUCAUUCAAAGACCCACCCCCCCAGGGGGAGGCCAUCCUUCUCAGGAAGGUCGCUUGGCCUGGACUCGGAACUGGACACUCAUUACUGGUCACCCUGUGACUGGAGCAGGACUUUGCCUUUCUGCACCUCGGUUUCUCCAUCCUAAGAGGGGCUAACGCCUGUGUCGUGGGACUGUCCCGAGGCGCUCAGAAGCAGUAGGCUUGCUCAUGCUUAAGCACAGAGCUCACAGCUGGGGGUGGCCCCUGUGCCACAGGUCCCUGUGUGUGCCCAACUCCCGCUGCAGAGGGCAACGCUGUGUGUGCCCAUGUCUGUGCUGUGGAUGCAAUGUGUAAACUGCACAGCCUUUGACGGUGGCUGCCUGGGUUGGAACGCGGGCCUCUAUGUGUGCUCUCCAACGGCCUGUGGCGGAAGGGCAGCCCCUCCCUUGGUGGGGGAAGUUCUCCAUAGCUUUGGUGCUUGGGAGGUUUGGAGAUGGCUUAGAGAGCCAUCGGGAUGUGAGGGGAUACAUUUAUCUCUGUCUUCUUGGGGACAGACCUCGGAGGUCCCUCUUUCACCCUUAAAGGCCUGGAUGAAUGGAAUCCGUGGGGCAGGAUUCUCAAAGCAAGACUGGUGGGGCCUCACAGGCAUUCCUGGAAAAGGGCUGUGGAGUUAAAAACCCAAGCGGGAAAUAAACAGAACUAGGCUUAGGAAGGGUCUCUCUGGGAGGCCUGUCUGCCCUCCAUCUUUCGUGGGCUCAGGAGCACUGCCUGGGGCUGGGAGCGAGAGCUCGGAUACUUUACGUUCUCUGAGGCGCUGACCGUGGCUCUGCGAGGAGGAGUGUUCCUCCGGACAGACAUCUUUCAGCGGCGCUGGACUAAGCCAUGGGACAGGUCUGACUGUGGCUCUGCGCUCCCCGCCGCCCCAUCUGUUGCCCCCUCCCCACUGAGAGCUGGGGGAGGGACGGGAUCUUUGUGAGCUGACUUGGGGUCUCAGAGCCGCGGGGAGGGAGGAGUGGGGCUCUCCCUGCGCGGGUUCCUUUUCUGGGUGAGGCGGAGCCUGUUCACCAGGCAGAUCGGGGGCUCCCCGGCCUCCACAGAUCUCCUGGUGUCUCCCCCCAGGCUGUUCACACUUUCUUUACUUGGGGGGCUGAUAAGUCACGCAGCUGGCAGCAUUUGCACCUGAUUCAAGGAGGUGAACAUUUUCCCUGGAGAUUAGCCUUGAAGUCAGGGCUGGUCCCCACCCGGGGACGAGGAGAGGACAGAAGGCUACAGAGGGCUGCACCGGGGGAGGGUAGAUGGGGCGUUCACCCACCCCUGCUGCCGCAUUUUCCUUUGUUGGUUUUGCCCGAGGUCUGAUAAGCACCCUGCUCCAGCCAGAGGCCUUAUCUGGCCGCCUAAUCCCCUGGCCUUGGCUGGAGAACACCAGGGCUUUGCCCAGUCCGCCCUCCCUACCCCCUCCCUGGCCCCUGCAGGCCGUUGGGGCUGGGGGUGGAGGGAGAGGGAGGUGGAGUGAAUACCCCCUUCCUCUUGCUCUUUCUCUUCCAACAGGGCAAGGGGUGCCGGUGGUUGAAGAGGCCCCUCUGGGCAGGAACCUCUCACCUGGGGCACGGCUGAAACCAAAGAAUUCAAGCUCCAUAAGGAAGAACCUAGAGGCCCCCCACGUCAGCCUGCCCCAGCCUGGAGCUUACCCACCAUGGAAAUGUGUCUGUUGGCCUUACAGAGGAGAAGGCAUUUGGGCAGGGCUUUGAGGUAUGAGUAGGAGUUUGCUGAAUGAAAUGAGAGGAAAGGGUUUUCAGGGCAGAGGGAACAGGUUGGGGUGGUAAGAAGGGUCCUGAGGCCCAUAGAGAGUGACUGCUAUGAGUGAGUGGUUGGAACUGGCGUGACUGAAGAUGGGGAAGGACAUCUGGGGGUCGGGGGUGCCAGAGGAGUUGGGGAUUUAUCUGGAAGAUGGUGGGUGCUAAGGCAAGAAGAACCAAUUCCUUUUUCUUUUUGCCAAAGCAAAGCCCUCCAUAGGAUUUCCUUUUGGACUUUCUUUUUGAAAGAGUAAUGCACACUGACAGUAACCAUUUAGAUAAUACAGUUUCUAAAAGAAAAGCAAUGAUCCUUUGCCUCUCCCACACCCACCUUUUCCCCACAAGCCCCCAGAAGGCUGGGGGUCUGCUCUCCCUCCCUUGACAGCUGCAGGAUGUUUUGUGGUGGGGUGUGAGGGGCUUUGGCCAGUCCCUGGAGAUGGACGUGCUGGUGUGUCCAGUUUCCCCAGCCCACUUAAAUGGGUGCAGUGAGUGGCCUUUAUAAGUUCCCCGAAGGGGGCGUGUGGGGGACAGUUACAGACAUGUCGUUUAACAAAUGCUGCAGAUCCCCUUCCAGAAGUGAAGAACAUCUCAGCCGUGCCCUGGCAGGCCUGGCUCCUCCCCCUCCACACCUGAAGUUUCUGUUUAAAAUGUUUGGCCACUGGAGGGGUGAAGACACUCACCUGUGCCUGAGGCACUUUAUUAUCCUGACUGAGCGCGCCCUGCACCUCUCACUGUCCUGAAGUGGCUCGGCCCUCGGGCUUCAUCUGGGCCUUCUGUACCUGAGCCUGGGCUUGGCCCAGCGUGGCCAGUGGGCUCCGGGCCCCUCCUGCCAGCCUAGCACUUCUGAGACAGAAGCCUGGCGCAGCAGGCAGGCACCUCUGGACUUUGAGCCUGGGCCCUUGACAGCCAGGGAGAGGGCGACCCCCAGCACACACUACCCUAACCUUUAGCAACGUCCCCACUGCAGAUGGGGGUGCUAGCCUUGAAAGUUGGGUGCCCCAAGGGUUGGGGCAGGAGGGCAAGGGGCCGCCCCAGGGAGGUGGUGCAUGACACAGCCUAUAACAGGCAGUGACUCACUGCUCAUCCAGCCAUAAAGUCAGGGUGAUAGGCUCAGUGUCCCAGCCGUGCUCCCUGGAGUCCCUGCCCCAACGUCAUUCCCUUCUCUGCAGCCUGCGCUGGGCAGAGCUCCCUCCCCAGGGGGGCCGCCUGGGCCACUCUGGGACCAUCCACCCAUUCCAGACCCACCCAUUCCAACUCACUUGCUACUGCUGGGGAGACUGAGUGCCAGGGAGGGGGAGCAAGGGUAGAUGGAGAACUAACAGUGUCAGAGUCCACAGGUCAUCUGUCCCCCACUUUACAGUGUGGACUGCGGGAGGGGAUCCCAGUGUGGGCUGCAGAGCUCAGGGCCAGGAUGCUCGGCCUGUCCAGGCUGCGAUCUGGAGGAAGCGGGUACUCUCUGCUUAGCCCAGGGCCUUCCACGCUCCUGGGGGCUGCGGGGACAGAUCCAAGAACAUGGGCCCUGGGGCCAUGGUGUCCGAUUCAACCCACGCUUCCUCCCUGUUGACACCGGGCAACUUGCUGAGCCGCUCCGUGCCUCAGUUUCCUCGUCUGUAAAGUGGGAUUCAUAGUAGCUCCUUCCCGACUGGGCUGUCUGGGGAUUGGUGAGUGAUGCCGUGGGGCAGGAUCAUGAUUUACGGGGUGCCUGUAUGUUCUCCCAGAGACGGGAAGGGCCCUGAGGGGUGACUCCUCACCAGAUAGCGGGGUCUCCCAGGGACUAAGCAGGUGGGAGGGAUGGGCGCUGCCCUACUGUGCAGAGCCUUGGCGGGAUCCCUUGACGCUGUCCCCAGGCUCUGCGGGGCCAGGAAUAGGGCCACUGGGCCUGGGGUCCUUGUAGUUCAAGGGUCACCCUGAACUGCGGGGCUCUAACUAUAGAGACCCUGGGGCAGUGACGCCUGUGCAACCUGCCCGCCUGUCACUCCCUCCCCCAACCCCUCACACUUGCCCUGCCUCCUUGACCUGCCCUGCCCACCCCUCACCCUCACCCUCACGCUGCCCCCUUAUCCCGCCCCUGGCACCUGCCCUGCCCUUCCCCUCCUGUGAUGGUUAAUACUGAGUGUCAACUUGAUUGGACUGAAGGAUGCAAAGUAUCGAUCCUGGGUGUGUCUGUGAGUGUGUUGCCAAAGAAGAUUAACAUUUGAGUCAGUGGCUGGGAAAGGCAGACCCAUCCUUAAUCUGGGUGGGCACCAUCUAAUCAGCUGCCAGCUCUGCUAGAAUAUAAAGCAGGCAGAAAAACGUGAAAAGGCUAGACUGGCCUAGCCUCCCAGCCUACAGCUUUCUCUGUGCUGGAUGCUUCCUGCCCUCGAACAUUGGACUCCAAGUUCUUCAGCUUUGGGGCUCAGACUGGCUCUUCUUGCUCCUCAGCCUGCAGACGGCCUAUUAUGAGACCUUGUGAUCACAUGAGUUAAUACUCCUUAAUAAAGCCGCCUUUAUAUAUACAUCUGUCCUGUGAGUUCUGUCCCUCUAGAGAACCCUGACGAAUACAACGCCCCUCACCCUCACACUGGCCCUGUCCCCCUUGCUCCUGCUGUGCCCAGCGCCCCUGCCUGUUCCUUCCCAUGCCACAGGGAGCUCUGGACACAGAGUGAUCACAGAA
Molecule: long non-coding RNA, 9995 nt
Filed under: Homo sapiens (human)
Lineage: Eukaryota; Metazoa; Chordata; Mammalia; Primates; Hominidae
Description: HSALNT0402338
Source: RNAcentral